RNAcentral lists this transfer RNA (58 nucleotides) under Pseudoalteromonas sp. S981. Its description in RNAcentral is "tRNA-Val". It matches the Rfam family "tRNA", at positions 8 to 63 of the family's 71-position model. Rfam says of the family: Transfer RNA (tRNA) molecules are approximately 80 nucleotides in length. Their secondary structure includes four short double-helical elements and three loops (D, anti-codon, and T loops). RNAcentral also lists the same sequence under 1 other name. The record is from RNAcentral. Lineage: Bacteria; Pseudomonadati; Pseudomonadota; Gammaproteobacteria; Alteromonadales; Pseudoalteromonadaceae.
UAGCUCAGUUGGGAGAGCAUCGCCCUUACAAGGCGAGGGUCACUGGUUCAAGUCCAGU